RNAcentral lists this ribosomal RNA (271 nucleotides) under Escherichia coli. RNAcentral's name for it is "partial 16S ribosomal RNA". It matches the Rfam family "Bacterial small subunit ribosomal RNA", at positions 1 to 268 of the family's 1533-position model. The record is from RNAcentral. Lineage: Bacteria; Pseudomonadati; Pseudomonadota; Gammaproteobacteria; Enterobacterales; Enterobacteriaceae.
AAAUUGAAGAGUUUGAUCAUGGCUCAGAUUGAACGCUGGCGGCAGGCCUAACACAUGCAAGUCGAACGGUAACAGGAAGCAGCUUGCUGCUUCGCUGACGAGUGGCGGACGGGUGAGUAAUGUCUGGGAAACUGCCUGAUGGAGGGGGAUAACUACUGGAAACGGUAGCUAAUACCGCAUAACGUCGCAAGACCAAAGAGGGGGACCUUCGGGCCUCUUGCCAUCGGAUGUGCCCAGAUGGGAUUAGCUAGUAGGUGGGGUAACGGCUCAC